AUGGUUGCCAUUCCUUUGCUUGUUAUAUUGGCCACUGGUGCUGUGUUGCUUAUCUUCUGUUAUAACCACACGAUCAAGCAAGUUGAGAUGCCUUCAGCUUUGGAUUUUCCUAAGUACCAGCACCCAACGUACCUGCUGAAAUUUAAUGAAAGGGAGUUGACCAUACAGAAAGUCAACUUUAUUCUGGAACCGAAUAUCACACCUGCCCUGUCAACUCUUUCAGUGGAUUCUUUAUCAAAAGAAAGUGAAGACAGCGAGGAUGAGGAUGAUAGUAGUAGCCACAUUCCUUACACAAAAACUCUUCGAUUCCAGAAGAAGGAUGAAAACUGCUCAACGGUUGGCACUUUUCCAACAUGUUCCGGCUCUUCUUCUGGAUCUGGAGAUUCUCAGCUAAGUGGAGAAAGCUGGCCAGCUGCAACAAUGUCAAAGCCCUUUUUUACAGCAGAAUGGAUGACAACGGAUGCUUCUUCGGGACUCUUAGAGAAGACUUUCCUUUCUGAGGACUCCAUUAUGGAUGAAUCAGUUAGCUUUGCAGAUGACUUCUCAGCUCCUAGUAGAGAAGGUCAAGAAAUUACAAACAGAGAUGUCGACUUUUUGAACCAGUUAAUAUUAUCAGAAAGUCACGACUUGUGCUUUUCCACAGGUUUGGAAAUUAGAACUGGAGGAGUCCAAUGCAGAAGCAUUUGUGCAAGUCUAGAAAACUCACAGACAUCUCUUUGUAGUCAGCCUGAAAGGCAGUUUAUAGAAGAAUGGAGAUGUGAAAAUGACUCUAACAAUCAUGAGUCUGUCUGGCAAGAAACAUCUCUGCUUGAGGUGUCUUGUAAAGACAGGGUUGAAAAUGGAGAACAGGUUGAAAACAACACUCUGAAAUCUACAGGCCACAAUUAUCAACCCAGACAAGGACAUUACAUUUCAAGAACCUGAUGCCAGUUACUGGUAUGUAUUCUAAGAGUUAGAGAAGAUCUUGCCAUGAUUUUUCUAAAAGAUCCUUUGGUGGGAGUUGUACUUUAAAAAUCUCAGUCAAAUUCUGUUUGAAAUCAGAAUGAACCAAACAGGACAGAGAUUAUAGUUACAUUCUAUUUCUAGUUGCCAUAUUCUUCCAUUACAUCUUAUUCUACAAAACAAAACAAAGCAAAACUGAACUUUCCUAAGUGAAAUUCCAUUGAGAUUGAAAACCGGAACAGUGGUGUCCAUUAGUGAUUUUGUCAUGGAAAUUAGAAUUUUCCUAUGGAGAAUUGGAAUUCUUGGAAAAAUGAGUGUUGUUUCCCGACUGACUAUUGGGAUGUUCAGCUAAAAAAUAUCAUAUUUUGGAUAUCCAUAUCCAUUUCUCCAUUUGUGAAUAGUUGGAUAUGUUUUCCCCAUUUAUUUUAGUCUUUUUUUGAACAGUGAUUUCUAAUCAGAACUGUAACUAGCCAUUUGCAAGUCUCUUUAGUGUCCACAAAUUGGUUUAAGCUUGCUGACACCAAUAUGUGAACAAAUAACAGUUCAGUCUGAGAUCAAGAAUUGAGAACAGGAAAUACAGAAGGUUCUUGUGGAAGCAUUAAGGAUUGCAUUAUGUGAGCUAAUCCAGACUGGUGCUGUUCUUUUAAGGUGAAAGGCAUAGUUUCUAGAAUUGAGGAAGAGAUAAAGAUAAUAUCUCCCUCUUUUAGAGAAAGUUCUUUCAGCCUCAAACUAGGCCUUAAUAACCUUUUUUUCAUCAACUCAUUGCAAAGGCAAAAAAGAAAUGUCAGAUAUGCUCUUUAUUGUGCAAUUGUAUGCACACAAACUUGGAUCUAAGUUUAUAUUGAAGUGAAAUACCAAUAAAGGAAAAUACCUGUAGCUAAGGGUUGAAAUUAGGGGGUCCUUGGUGUUCUCUGAGCUUGUUUUGUUUUCUUGCAGGCAUUUCAUCACCCAACUAGAUAACAUCAUCAGUGCUAGUGCUGCUAGUACUGCUAAAUGCUAGGGAUGUUAUUACUGAUGACGUUACCUAGUUUGAGCAAUGAAAUGCCUGCAAGAAAAAAAGCAAUCUCAGAGAGCACCAAGGACGCCUAACUGUGAAGUAUUUCAAACCAAGAGCCGCUCUUAGAUUCUAAAUAUUAUUAUAAAAUGUCUUUGUGUUUUAUGCCUUCAUUUACAUCUCAUAUUGAGAUUGCCAUGUUGUGUCUCUCAUUGGUUGGGGCAACAAAAUUCAUGGACCAUUGUAGUUCAGAGUUGAACUAUAACUCUUUGGUGCCCUGUAAUACCGGAAGUGAUGAAACGGGCCUAUAAUUCGGCCUGAAAAGCCUUGCAGAGGCUUUUUCCAAGCCUAUGGGAGGCCGAAAAAGGCCUCAAAGCAGCCGAAAAAUCAGCUGAGGUGCAGUGCAGGUUAGGGAGUGGGGAGAAUUGCACUCACAUGCACAAGAGGCGUGGGGAGGGGGGGGCGCACAUUGCAUUCUGGGUGCUGGCAUUCAAGUGCAUGUGCGCUGGUGCGUGCGCAAUUUUUGGCACAGGAGCCCCAAAAGGUUAGCCAUCACUACCCUAUUGGGUGUCCUCUAGAAGUUUUGAUCUCUCAAAGUUCCCCAGUUAACCUGUCUAAAAGAAAGUCGAAGGAUAGCCAGGUUGGAGACGUAGCCCAUACACACUUACGGCAUUUUAACAGAAUUUACUUAAGGGAUUUUAUUGCAAUAAAAUUUUACGUGCAAAUAUGUAUUUCUAUUAACUCUUGAAAUCCCUCUUACUGACACUAUUGGCUUGCUUCAAUGGAGCAAUAGUUUCUUCCUACACGAAUUGGCUGGCAACUAGCCUUUAUGUCUUAAACGAGACAGUAUUAUUAAGUUAACCAAACCUAAGUUCAUUGAUAAAUACGGCUGCAACUAGAACUCCGCAUGGACUUUCCCAAUGUUGCUGCUGAAUGGGGAGAUGGGGCAAUGAACUUCUCUUGAACCCAAGUUCCCUUCUCAAUUCAGGACUUCAGUUAUAAUUGUAGAAGAUAAGGUUGAGGGUGGGUUCACCCUCAAAGCAAUAUUUCUCAACCUUGGCCAUUUUAAGACUCCCAACACUGGAGCUCCAUCACUGGAGGACAACCAUUUGUCUGAAGUGACAUAGGGUUUCCUGCCUCAGCAGAAGGUUGCACUAGAAGACCUCCAAGGUUCCAACUCUAUUAUUUUGUUAAAACUUUGACUCCCACAGCAAGGCUGGCAGGGGAAUUCUGGGAGUUGAAGUCCACAUAUCUUAAAGUGGCCAAGGUUGAGAAAACACAGGUCUAAAAGGAAGUAUUGGCCUUCAAAGGCAUUAGAGUAGCUUUUCCUAUUGAUUUUGAAGAAAGUUUUUCAGAGGGGGAGGCUCCCACUAGAAUCAAAGCCCUACAGCCUUUACCUAGGUGAAAUGUAGGUGCUUCCAUACAUUCCAUAAUUUCAUAUUUUGUGCUCAUGAAUAUAACUUGGGGAACAAACUGCCUAUAUUAAUUUUCUAAAAUGCACUAAAAACACUCCCGUGCACUAAAGGGAGUUCUUUGAGCAGGUUGAUACAAAAUAAAAGAGUCCUCAUAUUUCCAGUGAUUUAUUUUUGUACAUCGUUCUUCUUGUUUAUGUAUAUGCACUUUGGUUAAUUUUAUA
Long non-coding RNA from Pseudonaja textilis, 3572 nucleotides. NCBI's taxonomy places the organism in Eukaryota, Metazoa, Chordata, Lepidosauria, Squamata, Elapidae. The record is from Ensembl.